This 1019-nucleotide long non-coding RNA is filed under the name Equus asinus (donkey). RNAcentral's name for it is "lncRNA (ENSEASG00005026271.1)". Lineage: Eukaryota; Metazoa; Chordata; Mammalia; Perissodactyla; Equidae. The record is from RNAcentral.
CGCAAGCGCUGCUUCAUUCCCGAGCGGGUGGGGGCCGGUCCUCUGCGCUGGCGACGGCCGCGGUAGAAGCUUGUGGCGCUCGAAAAGCAGCGUUUUCUGCUGGAACGUUCUCUGUCGGAGACGCUUCGAAGCACUUUUGUACAAGAAUUCCACAAUGUAAAUUAAGAUGGCUCCUGAGCGACCUUACGACUUGUGGCGUUAGGACGCUGAUUAUAGUGAUAUGUCGCCGCACACUUCCUGGAAAGCGAGAUGUGACGCUGGAUUGUGGUAGCAUCACGACAGGGCGCCGCCAGUGAGCAGUCGCUGAAGGCAGAGGCGGCAGAUUUGAAAAUGCUGUGGUAGAGGAGGACUGGUUGUUACCCAAUUGCUGGUUGUUGAAUCUUGACUUAGCCAGAUCUCUGGAGGGACCACAUCCUGCCAGAUCCUGAACCAGGCUGUCAGAGAAAACCACUUGAUUCUUUACACAUCCAACAAAGACCUUUUCCUUGAGCUGGGACUGAAAUUCAAGGCUGCUCCUUUAUGGUCUCCUAUCAUCAAAAGAUGCAGGGACAAAUGAAGAGACAGAUAGAAGCAUCUCAAGAACAGGAGGGGGCAUAGUGUUCUCUGGAGAGGAAGAGGAACAGAGCUGUUGACAGUGGCACUGUCUUUGGUCUCCUGUGGGAAUCGUUUGGAUGGUGUUCUAUUGUAGGUGACGGCCAGUUACUGGCCACUUCCUCAGCAGCUCUCUAGGGCAUUAGAGAAUGGAUGUUUCCUCGGGAAAUUGCUCCCAAUCUAUGCCAGGGGAGGAGGUUUACUCUCUCUGGCCUGUUUCAACCUUUCAACCACUUUGAGUCCUAUGUGCAUGUGUCAUUUCUUUCUAAGAUCCUGGGAGGUGUGCCCAUUGGCAAACCUUCCUUUUCCAUUGCAGGUGAUGGUUCCCAUCCAGAAAUAAAAAUUUAUGUUCACGCGAAAAAUUUUCACAGGCAGUUCCUAGCAGCUCUCUUUCUCGUAGUGAAACUCUGUGCCCCCCCCAAAAUGUC